UUGAAAAGCUACCACCAUCAGAGGUUAGCUAAGUGUUUUGUAUGUUCCUAAAAUCAGUCAUCCAUUAGCUGCUGAUUGGUUAACGUUAGGACAUUGGAACACCCACGCUUGUGUAAGGCUCAGCCAUAAAAAUAAAUCAUGUUUUUGUUUGUUUUUCUUCUGGAUGAUAAACUGACAGACGGUCCAGCCCUCUUCGACCUGAUGGUUCACCAAUUGUUUGUUCUGGGCCCUGGUUGUUUUUGUGAUCAUAAGAACAGAAACUCCUCUUACUGUAACCAAUCAGUGACAGGGUCUGAGGUCAACACUAUAUCAGCUGAGCAGGCUGAGGCUUUUUUCAGUAACCAUAAAAAAACAUCACGUACUUGGAGUUUCUGUCGAUUUUAAAGUUACUUUCAGUUGGAUUUCGAACUUUCUACUUCAGUCAUGGCACCGAUUUUACUGAACUGUAUGGGAAAUGAUCACACUGAGUACAUGAAACAAUAUGUCCAGGUGAAAAACCCUUACCUGGAAACCAUGGAGGAGGACAUUCUGUACCACUUCAGCCUGAGCACCAAGACUCAUAACCUUCCAGAAAUGUUUGGAGACAUUAAGUUUGUGUGUGUUGGCGGCAGCACAAAUCGCAUGAAGGCCUUCGCCCAGUUCAUCCACCAGGAGCUGAAACAGCCUGGAAACCCAGAGGACCUCCGAGACAUCUGUGAGGGAACCGACCGUUACUGCAUGUACAAAGUGGGACCAGUUCUGUCAAUUAGCCAUGGCAUGGGUGUCCCAUCCAUCUCCAUCAUGCUGCAUGAGCUGAUCAAACUGCUGCACCAUGCGCAAUGUCGUGACGUGAUCCUGUUUCGCCUCGGAACUUCAGGUGGAGUCGGUCUGGCUCCUGGAACUGUGGUGAUCACCGAUAAGGCUGUGGAUUAUUCCUUCCGCCCUCAGUUUGAGCAGGUGGUCCUGGGUAAAGUUAUCACCAGAAGCACAGAGUUGGAUGAGGGAGUGGCCAGUGAGCUUCUGCAGUGCUCCUCUGAGCUCCAGAAUGUUCCAACAGUGAUUGGCAACACCAUGUGCACCCACGACUUCUAUGAAGGUCAGGGCAGACUGGACGGUGCGCUCUGCUCCUUUUCUCAAGAAGAAAAGUUGGAAUAUUUGAGGAACGCUUACGAUGCUGGUGUCAGGAACAUUGAAAUGGAAUCGACUGUUUUUGCUGCAAUGUGUCGUGUCUGUGGUCUGAAAGCUGCUGUCGUCUGUGUUGCACUGCUGCACCGCUUCGAGGGGGGACAGAGUACUGCUCCCCAUGAUGUGCUGGUGGACUACCAGCAGAGACCUCAAGUCCUUGUGUCCCACUUCAUUAAGAAACGCCUGGGACAAAUCAUCUGAACCGUCUGUCCAUCACUACAUUCCUGAAACAUGUACAUAGCUGUGACUUAAAUUUAAAUACGUGUAUAUACUGUACUUAGAUGUCAAUAUGUGUAUUUGACGUUUAUUUAAUAAACGUCAAAUACUUUUUCACAGUUUCUGUAAUGAACUAGAUUAGAUAAUAGAUUAUAUGUUGCUAUAUACUGUAUGUUAACAUUUAUCAAUCUGGUGCUAAUGUAUAGACCAAGUGUUGCUAGCCUUUGUUUCUACUAUUUCAACUACUUGAGUGACUACCAACAUUUAAUCUAGGUUGUUUACUGUAUGCACAUUUUUAUGUUUUUUUUAUCGCAUGUUUGUUAUAUAUGUUUGUUAUGUGAAAAAUAUCAAGAUUCUUCUUUGGGGUUUCUCCCAGUGUAAAGAGAUAUUUAAGUGAACAGAAAGUUGAUUUUGUUGGGUUAUAUGUAUAUGUGUUUGUCAUUCUUGAAGAAACUGCAGUAUACUGUAUUUGUUAAAAUGCAAUAAACACAAAUAGAAAAAGUA
This is an RNA transcript of Cynoglossus semilaevis (tongue sole), 1884 nucleotides long. It is a transcript of the gene named uridine phosphorylase 2, with no coding region annotated. The transcript has 8 exons. NCBI's taxonomy places the organism in Eukaryota, Metazoa, Chordata, Actinopteri, Pleuronectiformes, Cynoglossidae. The record is from RefSeq and is a predicted model, not a curated record.